GGGUCAUUGUGGUUUUGUGUUCAUGUUAGUCGUCUUUAAAACACGUUUCCCUGCAUUUGGGUCCUGCUCUUUACAUCCUGGGGCCACAACACAACACCGACAAGACAACCUGAUUGGAGGUUUUGUGACUCCACAAAUCGGCACCAUGCUGGCAUGAGCAGUCCCCUCUUAUUACCACAAUGCCUCAUGUGGUUAGGAAGGCCACUGGAGGUACCCUGGUGCAAGAGAUCACAGAACACUUCAUGCCACGGGGAAGAAACCCCCCCUAAAAAAAAAAAAUGGCAUCAUUCACCCGAACCCCCCUCCACCAUCUCUUCUGGUUCUCAAAGCUGAUUGUGAUAAAAGGCCCCCGCGCCACACUUUGGACACCCCUGUUGUAAAGACUUGAACUGGGUAGGGUGGAUGCUACUGUAUAACUUAUAACUUAAACCAUAGAUGGCUUUUUUUUCUUUAAUAUUUCAACUACUAAAAUGACAAUUUUUUUAUAUUAUAUAUUAUAUAUUAAUGUAAUAAAAAAUUAUAAUAAAUUAUUUUAUUAAUGGCUUUUUACUUAAUAUACUCAAUAUGCAUAAGAGUUUUUUUUCACUAAAUUUCAUGACCUAUCCAACUUACAGCUUGCGUUUUUGAGUUUUAGACGCUAAUUGUUUUACAUUUUUAUUCAUGUACCCCAUAUGGGAAUUAACGUACCCCACUUCGGGAACCACUGAAUUACAUGUACCGGAAGCAAUCAAUCUUGGAUGGAGAGCUUCUCUCUACC
This is a non-coding RNA of Doryrhamphus excisus (bluestripe pipefish), 757 nucleotides long. NCBI's taxonomy places the organism in Eukaryota, Metazoa, Chordata, Actinopteri, Syngnathiformes, Syngnathidae. The record is from RefSeq and is a predicted model, not a curated record.